AUACGGAGGGAGCAAGCGUUAUUCGGAAUCACUGGGCGUAAAGGACGCGCAGGCGGGUUUGUAAGUCAGGUGUGAAGUCCUACAGCUCAACUGUAGAACUGCACUUGAAACUACAGACCUAGAGUAUGGAAGGGGCAGAUGGAAUUAGUGGUGUAGGGGUAAAAUCCGUAGAUAUCACUAGGAAUACCGAAAGCGAAGGCGAUCUGCUGGGACAUUACUGACGCUGAGGCGUGAAAGCGUGGGGAGCAAACAGGAUUAGAAACCCUAGUAGUCC
This 274-nucleotide ribosomal RNA is filed under the name uncultured bacterium. RNAcentral describes it as "partial 16S ribosomal RNA". It matches the Rfam family "Bacterial small subunit ribosomal RNA", at positions 523 to 796 of the family's 1533-position model. The record is from RNAcentral.